CACGUAGGGUGCGAGCGUUGUCCGGAAUUAUUGGGCGUAAAGAGCUCGUAGGCGGUCCGUCACGUCGGAUGUGAAAUUCCAGGGCUCAACCCUGGACCUGCAUUCGAUACGGGCGGACUAGAGUUCGGUAGGGGAGACUGGAAUUCCUGGUGUAGCGGUGAAAUGCGCAGAUAUCAGGAGGAACACCGGUGGCGAAGGCGACUUCCUGGCCUGUUCUUGACGCUGAGGCGCGAAAGCUAGGGGAGCAAACGGG
This 253-nucleotide ribosomal RNA is filed under the name uncultured bacterium. RNAcentral's name for it is "partial 16S ribosomal RNA". It matches the Rfam family "Bacterial small subunit ribosomal RNA", at positions 524 to 776 of the family's 1533-position model. The record is from RNAcentral.